Molecule: ribosomal RNA, 285 nt
Filed under: uncultured bacterium
Lineage: Bacteria
Description: partial 16S ribosomal RNA
Rfam family: Bacterial small subunit ribosomal RNA
Source: RNAcentral
CUUGUCCUACGGGGGGCAGCAGUGGGGAAUAUUGCACAAUGGGGGAAACCCUGAUGCAGCGACGCCGCGUGAGUGAAGAAGUAUUUCGGUACGUAAAGCUCUAUCAGCAGGGAAGAAAUAAAGUCCUUCGGACUUUGGACGGUACCUGACUAAGAAGCCCCGGCUAACUACGUGCCAGCAGCCGCGGUAAUACGUAGGGAGCAAGCGUUAUCCGGAAUUAUUGGGUGUAAAGGGUGCGUAGACGGGAUGUCAAGUUAGUUGUGAAAUACCUCGGCUCAACUGAGG